Molecule: ribosomal RNA, 455 nt
Filed under: uncultured Erysipelotrichaceae bacterium
Lineage: Bacteria; Bacillati; Bacillota; Erysipelotrichia; Erysipelotrichales; Erysipelotrichaceae
Description: bacterial SSU rRNA
Rfam family: Bacterial small subunit ribosomal RNA
Source: RNAcentral
ACAAGCGGUGGAGCAUGUUGGUUUAAUUCGACGCAACGCGAAGAACCUUAACCAGGUUCUUGACAUCCGACGCAAGGCACUAGAGAUAGUGAGAUAGUUAUGGUCGAGACAGGUGGUGCAUGGUUGUCGUCAGCUCGUGUCGUGAGAUGUUUGGUUAAGUCCAGCAACGAGCGCAACCCCUGUCCUUAGUUACCAUCAUUUAGUUGGGGACUCUAAGGAGACUGCCGAUGUAAAUCGGAGGAAGGUGGGGAUGACGUCAAAUCAUCAUGCCCUUUAUGACCUGGGCCACACACGUGCUACAAUGGGCGAUACAAAGAGAUGCAACUGCGCGAGCACAAGCCAACCUCAAAAAAUCGUUCUCAGUUCAGAUUGGAGUCUGCAACUCGACUCCAUGAAGAUGGAAUCGCUAGUAAUCGCGAAUCAGCUACGUCGCGGUGAAUACGUUCUCGGGGUUU